UUUUUCCCCCCCUUUUUAAUGAUUUUGUUCAAAACAAGGCUUGAAGCCACUGUGUGUAAGGGACUACAAAGUAGGGAAGGAAAGGGGCCUGCAAUUUCAAAAGCUGUCAUUUGCCAAAAUGCUUAAGGGUCUGAAUAUCAUAGACGAGAGAUAAAAGAGAAACUGGACAAUGGUAGGGAGAUCCAGGGAGCAGUAGUUAUAGGAACGGAGCUCUAAGAAGAAAAGGGAUUUAAAACUAACGGGAAAUUCAACAGAGAAACAAUACAUAAGGGAAGAAAAUUAGAAGCAAUAAACAAGUUACAAAGGUGCAAAGUCUCCAAUAUUACCGAUUUGGUAUUUACUGUUAAUAUAAAAACCAUGAACACUGAUGGUCGAAGACAUGAUGAUAAGAGUUUUAUGAAAAGCUACAUGAAACUUACAGAUGAUUAUGAGAGAAAAAAAAUCUUUCCAAUAAAACUUUUUAGAAAUU
Molecule: long non-coding RNA, 469 nt
Organism: Octopus sinensis (East Asian common octopus)
Lineage: Eukaryota; Metazoa; Mollusca; Cephalopoda; Octopoda; Octopodidae
Exons: 2
Source: RefSeq, a predicted model, not a curated record